GUGGGGGAUAACGCAGCGAAAGCUGUGCUAAUACCGCAUACGAUCUAUGGAUGAAAGCGGGGGACCGUAAGGCCUCGCGCGAUUGGAGCGGCCGAUGUCAGAUUAGGUAGUUGGUGGGGUAAAGGCCUACCAAGCCAACGAUCUGUAGCUGGUCUGAGAGGACGACCAGCCACACUGGGACUGAGACACGGCCCAGACUCCUACGGGAGGCAGCAGUGGGGAAUUUUGGACAAUGGGCGCAAGCCUGAUCCAGCAAUGCCGCGUGCAGGAAGAAGGCCUUCGGGUUGUAAACUGCUUUUGUACGGAACGAAACGGUCUGGAUUAAUACCCUGGGCUAAUGACGGUACCGUA
RNAcentral lists this ribosomal RNA (351 nucleotides) under bacterium A03-3. Its description in RNAcentral is "bacterial SSU rRNA". It matches the Rfam family "Bacterial small subunit ribosomal RNA", at positions 136 to 482 of the family's 1533-position model. The record is from RNAcentral. RNAcentral also lists the same sequence under 1 other name.